GUGUCUAUAGGAAGAAAUGUAAUACGUUGUGAUGAUGUUGUUCUUUGUCUGAAUCCUUUAGAAUUAAAAAAUAUGUUGAAAAAAAAAAAUUUCAAAUUGAAAACAAAAAGGUUUUAAUAAAACAUUUAAAUAGUUUUCGCUGUAAGAGGAUUAAAAUAACAAAUGUAUGUUACAAAAAGAAUGUUCUCCCCUUAUCUCAAUCACUGGAGUCAUUAAUGCUAGUUAAACAGAAUGAGAAGAAUAAAAUUAUUUCUUUAUUAUAUGACCAUAAUAUAUUUUCCCAAAUGGGCUUAAAUAGUUCGACAGAGAAGACUUCUACACAUGAAAUUUUGUAUGAAACGAGAUUGCGAUUUAUGAGCUCCGAAACGAAGGAUGAAAAAUGUGUUGAAGAAAUAAACACUUUUCUUCAAGACAUUUUAAAAUUGAAAGAAGGUCCUGAUUUGGUAAUAAAAAAAAAAAAAAAAAUAAUCUUUUGCAUUAUACAUAUAUAUAUAUACAAUGUU
This 503-nucleotide long non-coding RNA is filed under the name Piliocolobus tephrosceles (Ugandan red Colobus). RNAcentral describes it as "lncRNA (ENSPTEG00000017342.1)". The record is from RNAcentral. Lineage: Eukaryota; Metazoa; Chordata; Mammalia; Primates; Cercopithecidae.